Molecule: ribosomal RNA, 575 nt
Filed under: Papiliotrema laurentii
Lineage: Eukaryota; Fungi; Basidiomycota; Tremellomycetes; Tremellales; Rhynchogastremaceae
Description: eukaryotic LSU rRNA
Rfam family: Eukaryotic large subunit ribosomal RNA
Source: RNAcentral
GAGUGACCGGGAAGAGCUCAAAUUUGAAAUCUGGCGUCCUCAGGGCGUCCGAGUUGUAAUCUAUAGAGGCGUUUUCCGUGCCGGACCGUGUCCAAGUUCCUUGGAACAGGAUAUCAAAGAGGGUGACAAUCCCGUACUUGACACGACGACCGGUGCUCUGUGAUACGUCUUCUACGAGUCGAGUUGUUUGGGAAUGCAGCUCAAAAUGGGUGGUGAGUUCCAUCUAAAGCUAAAUAUUGGCGAGAGACCGAUAGCGAACAAGUACCGUGAGGGAAAGAUGAAAAGCACUUUGGAAAGAGAGUUAAACAGUACGUGAAAUUGUUGAAAGGGAAACGAUUGAAGUCAGUCGUGACCGASAGGCUCARCCGGUUCUGCCGGUGUAUUCCCCUCGGUCGGGUCAACAUCAGUUUUGUCCGGUGGAUAAGGGCGGUAGGAAGGUGGCACCCUCGGGUGUGUUAUARCCUGCCGUCKCAUACAUCGGGUGAGACUGAKGAACGCASCUCGCCUUUAUGGCCGGGGUUCGCCCACGUCCGAGCUUAKGAUGUUGACAUAAUGGCUUUAAACGACCCGUCUUG